CACACUCCUGAAAAGGGGAUUGCACAGAGGCACAAAGACCUCUGGUGUUUCCAGUCUGGGUAGACUGGCUGUCACCACUGGGGCACUGGUGGGCACCUGUGAGCUGAUGAGUGGGACCAAACGGCUCUGGCCACCUUGGACCCCAUUCCUCCCAGGCUUUGUCUCUCCCUGAGCCCUGCGCUUGAGAACAUUAAAAGCCAUGCCUUGGACCCCCUUGUUCUGAGUCCUGCCAUGGGCCGUGAGGACAGCCGGCCACUCUUCCUGGUGAGCAGAUUGUCACUCGGCUCCAGCUGCACGUCCAGCUCUUCCGCUGUUUUGCUCACGGUAAAUGCGUCACUGGAGAAGGGAAGGUGGAUUUUUGCGGUUCCACGUGCCUGGCACAAGGAUAUCAUUUGAAAUACAAAGAGUAUGAGAAAGACGUUGCCAUAGAAGAAAUCGAUGGCCUCCAACUGGUAAAGAAGCUGGCAAAGAACAUGGAAGAGAUGUUUCACAAGA
This 495-nucleotide small RNA is filed under the name Pan troglodytes (chimpanzee). Its description in RNAcentral is "processed transcript". Lineage: Eukaryota; Metazoa; Chordata; Mammalia; Primates; Hominidae. The record is from RNAcentral.